GUCAAGUUUUAUUCUUGCUUAUUUCGUUCAUUGUUUGUUUGUUCUAUAUGUAAGUUUGUGCAUGAUUUUUAAUUGGGUUUUAGAUAGGUUCAAUUAUUGUUUUUUUUGUUAUUCUCAUUAGUUGUUAUUAGUUGAUCAAGUGUUCUUGUAUUUAGCAAUGCAUUUAGUUUCGGUUAAAUUUUGUGCCAGCAGCCGCGGUUAUACUUUGGAAGCGUUUGAAUGUGUUUGGCAUUAGGUAGUUGUAAUAUUUAGUUUUAGUUGAUUAUAUUGUGGUUAUUGUUGGGUGAAAUUUUUAUUGUUAUUGUUUUCUUAUUUUUAUUUGGAGGCUAUGAAAUUCUAAUAUUUAAACUAGGAUUAGAUACCCUAUUAUUUUAGGACGUUAAUGUUUUAUUUGCCGGAGUAGUAUUAGUUAUGUUCUUGAAACUUAAAGAAUUUGGCGGUAUCUCAUUCCAUUCAGAGGAAUCUGUCUCGUUAUCGAUAGUCCACGUUGGACCUUACUUAGUUGUUAUAUGGUUUGUAUACCGCCGUUUAUUGAUUAUCUUUUUAGAGUUUUUAAUUUUCUUGUUUCUUUAUUUUGAUUUAUUUCAGGUCAAGGUGCAGCUUGUUUCUAAGUGAAUGAUGGAUUACAUUGUUAUUUGUUAUUUGGAUUGUUAUGGGUUUAAAUACUGACAUGAAAUUGGAUUUGGUUGUAAUUUAUUUGCAGAUUGUUAUUGUGAUAAUGGUUCUGAGAUAUGUACACAUCGCCCGUCGCUCUCGUUUAUGUUGUUAAUGAGAUAAGUCGUAACAAAGUGGUUGUACCGGAAGGUGUAGCUGGAUUGGU
Molecule: non-coding RNA, 820 nt
Filed under: Labiotermes sp. BRA008
Lineage: Eukaryota; Metazoa; Arthropoda; Insecta; Blattodea; Termitidae
Source: RNAcentral